Small nucleolar RNA from Ornithorhynchus anatinus (platypus), 138 nucleotides. NCBI's taxonomy places the organism in Eukaryota, Metazoa, Chordata, Mammalia, Monotremata, Ornithorhynchidae. The record is from RefSeq and is a predicted model, not a curated record.
CUCUUCUCAGGAUCGCACCUGGAGAGUUUCCAAUACUCUUCCAGUCUCGACAACAGGAGGGAGAGCCAAGCAGAGGCCUACCUAUUCCAGUCCUAGCUUGGGCAGUGGCUAGCGAGUGGAAGGCCAUCUGCUACAAGU